RNAcentral lists this ribosomal RNA (253 nucleotides) under uncultured bacterium. RNAcentral describes it as "partial 16S ribosomal RNA". It matches the Rfam family "Bacterial small subunit ribosomal RNA", at positions 524 to 776 of the family's 1533-position model. The record is from RNAcentral.
UACGAAGGGGGCUAGCGUUGUUCGGAAUUACUGGGCGUAAAGCGCACGUAGGCGGGUUGUUAAGUCAGGGGUGAAAUCCCGGAGCUCAACUCCGGAACUGCCUUUGAUACUGGCAAUCUAGAGACUGGAAGAGGUUAGUGGAAUUCCCGGUGUAGCAGUGAAAUGCGUAGAGAUCGGGAGGAACACCGGUGGCGAAGGCGACUUCCUGGACACCAACUGACGCUGAGACGCGAAAGCGUGGGGAGCAAACAGG